Molecule: ribosomal RNA, 465 nt
Filed under: uncultured bacterium
Lineage: Bacteria
Description: partial 16S ribosomal RNA
Rfam family: Bacterial small subunit ribosomal RNA
Source: RNAcentral
GACGAACGCUGGCGGCGUGCUUAACACAUGCAAGUCGAACGCUGAACCCGCUUCGGUGGGGGCUGCGUUGCGGACGGGUGAGUAACACGUUGGCAACCUGCCCCCGGCUCUGGGAUAGCUCCUAGCUAUUGGGGCUAAUACCGGAUGUGACCUCUUGCCGCAUGGUCUGGUGGUGGGACGGUUUUCCGGCUGGGGAUGGGCCCGGGGCCUAUCGGCUUGUUGGUGGGGUAGUGGCCGACCAAGGCGGCGCCGGGUAGCCGGCCUGGGCGGGUGACCGGCCACACUGGGACUGAGAGACGGCCCAGACGCGUACGUGAGGCAGCAGGGGGGAGUAUGGUGCAGUGGGCGGGAGCCUGAGGCAGCGACGCCGCGUGGGGGAAGAAGGCCUUCGGGGUGGAAACCGCUUUCAGCAGGGACGAAGCGCAAGUGACGGUACCUGCAGAAGAAGCACCGGCCAACUACGUG